GGAACUGUGCCCGAAAGUUAAGGA
This 24-nucleotide transfer RNA is filed under the name Pristimantis lutzae. RNAcentral's name for it is "partial tRNA-Ile". The record is from RNAcentral. Lineage: Eukaryota; Metazoa; Chordata; Amphibia; Anura; Strabomantidae.